AAGUCGUAACAAGGGUUCCGUAGGUGAACCUGCGGAAGGAUCAUUGCGCUAAAGAAUUACAGAUUUUGAUUUUGGGAAGUUCUGUGUGUCCGACGCUGCAAUUGAGCGCUAGAUAAAGCACCCUGGUACCCUAGAGCAAUCCUCUGUCUGAAAGCGGAAGGGAUCAAUGUUCAGGGUGGCGCAGUCAACUAUCUGCUGUACGGCGACCGGGGUGGAGGCGAAAGCCUCUACGUCAUCCCUAUGUCCCUCCGAACCAUAAAUCGAACAACUGUUAACAAUGAAUAUCUUGGUUCUC
This 295-nucleotide unclassified non-coding RNA is filed under the name fungal sp. Its description in RNAcentral is "partial internal transcribed spacer region". The stretch from base 1 to 46 matches the Rfam family "Eukaryotic small subunit ribosomal RNA", at positions 1786 to 1831 of the family's 1831-position model. The record is from RNAcentral. Lineage: Eukaryota; Fungi.